Long non-coding RNA from Stegodyphus dumicola, 293 nucleotides. The record is from RefSeq and is a predicted model, not a curated record. NCBI's taxonomy places the organism in Eukaryota, Metazoa, Arthropoda, Arachnida, Araneae, Eresidae.
UUUUAGAUGUAUGCUGUUGGAGAAGAUAUCAAAAAGACAAAAAAAGAAAUUGUUAGGUUGCAGCAGUCUUUGAAUAGGAAUGCUGAAAGGAACGAAGCAGCUUGUGCACGAAUGAAGCAGAAAAUGAUUGUACAGAGCAAUCUCUUAAAAAAACUGGAAGCAAAAGAACAAAAAAUAAGUGAUGAAAUAAACUUGAAAAAGAAUCACAAGAAAAUAUCAAUAUUUUAGUUAUUGAGAUUCUGCACUUAGGUAUGUCUUUGUAAAUAUUAAAUUAAUUAAAAGAUUUAUCAUAC